CCUCACCACGGUAGCCAACAUCACAACCACCACUACCCAAAGACCACCAAAAAAUCAGAUCCAAAGUCAUGUUAUCGUACAACCAGGUUGCGAUGCUGCGCCACGACCACUACUAACUCACCAGACCACCAAUAUCAGCACCACCUCACCAACGCAACCAACAUCACAACUGCCACCAUCCAAAGAUCACCAAAAAAUCAGAUCCAAAAUCAUGUUAUCGUACAACUAGCUUGCGACACUGCGCCAUGACCACUACCAACUCACCAGACCACCUCCAGCACAUUUUUCUCGUAGGAGGGGGCUACGACUCUAUGAGCCAACACUAUUAGAAGGAGAGGAAGACGAGGCCAUGGAUCUAGAGCAAGAGCCGGAGGUGUGUGAACGAGAGCGAGAGCUAGAAAUAGAACGUGAACUAAGCAAGAAGAGUUCAAACCUUAUUUAGGAGACAACGCCCGACAGCUUCGACCUGGUUUUGCCAUUGAAUCCAGUGGACUUUCAAAUGCAGUGUGGAGAGUCGAAACCUGCCUAAUAAACCCUAACCAAAGAUAGAGAGAGAAAGAAAGGUGAUACAUAAUUAAAGUUUGUGAUUGAAAUUG
This 596-nucleotide long non-coding RNA is filed under the name Olea europaea subsp. europaea. The record is from RNAcentral. Lineage: Eukaryota; Viridiplantae; Streptophyta; Magnoliopsida; Lamiales; Oleaceae.